This 253-nucleotide ribosomal RNA is filed under the name uncultured bacterium. Its description in RNAcentral is "partial 16S ribosomal RNA". It matches the Rfam family "Bacterial small subunit ribosomal RNA", at positions 524 to 776 of the family's 1533-position model. The record is from RNAcentral.
UACGUAGGGGGCAAGCGUUAUCCGGAUUUACUGGGUGUAAAGGGAGCGUAGACGGCUUGGCAAGCCAGAUGUGAAAGGCUGGGGCUCAACCCCAGGACUGCAUUUGGAACUGUCAUGCUAGAGUGUCGGAGAGGCAGGCGGAAUUCCUAGUGUAGCGGUGAAAUGCGUAGAUAUUAGGAGGAACACCAGUGGCGAAGGCGGCCUGCUGGACGAUGACUGACGUUGAGGCUCGAAAGCGUGGGGAGCGAACAGG